Molecule: small nucleolar RNA, 111 nt
Organism: Pygocentrus nattereri (red-bellied piranha)
Lineage: Eukaryota; Metazoa; Chordata; Actinopteri; Characiformes; Serrasalmidae
Source: Ensembl
UUCCUAUGAUGAGUUUGCCAUGCUAAUACUGAUGCGCCAGAAUAACUGUGUCUCUCUGGGCGCAAGUGAGUUCAACUGAACUUCUCACACGUGCAGUGUGCUCUGAGGAAA